UACGGAGGAUCCGAGCGUUAUCCGGAUUUAUUGGGUUUAAAGGGUGCGUAGGCGGUUUAUUAAGUCAGUGGUGAAAGGUUAAAGCUCAACUUUGACAUUGCCAUUGAUACUGAUAGGCUAGAGUACAGAUGAGGUCGGCGGAAUGUGUCAAGUAGCGGUGAAAUGCAUAGAUAUGACACAGAACACCAAUUGCGAAGGCAGCUGACUAAAGUGUAACUGACGCUGAGGCACGAAAGCGUGGGGAUCGAACAGGAUUAGAUACCCUGGUAGUCCACGCCCUAAACGAUGAUAACUCGAUGUUAGCGAUAUACCGUUAGCGUCAAAGCGAAAGCGUUAAGUUAUCCACCUGGGGAGUACGGUCGCAAGAUUGAAACUCAAAGGAAUUGACGGGGGCCCGCACAAGCGGAGGAGCAUGUGGUUUAAUUCGAUGAUACGCGAGGAACCUUACCUGGGCUUAAAUGUGAGACGACCGCUGGUGAAAGCCGGCUUUCCGCAAGGACGACUUACAAGGUGCUGCAUGGUUGUCGUCAGCUCGUGCCGUGAGGUGUCGGGUUAAGUCCCAUAACGAGCGCAACCCUUAUGAUUAGUUGCUAACAGGUCAAGCUGAGGACUCUAGUCAGACUGCCACCGUAAGGUGUGAGGAAGGUGGGGAUGACGUCAAAUCAGCACGGCCCUUAUGUCCAGGGCUACACACGUGUUACAAUGGCCGAUACAGAGGGCAGCUACCCCGCGAGGGGCCGCUAAUCCGGAAAAGUCGGUCUCAGUUCGGAUCGGAGUCUGCAACCCGACUCCGUGAAGCUGGAUUCGC
Molecule: ribosomal RNA, 808 nt
Filed under: uncultured Bacteroidota bacterium
Lineage: Bacteria; Pseudomonadati; Bacteroidota
Description: bacterial SSU rRNA
Rfam family: Bacterial small subunit ribosomal RNA
Source: RNAcentral